RNAcentral lists this long non-coding RNA (736 nucleotides) under Equus asinus (donkey). RNAcentral describes it as "lncRNA (ENSEASG00005026865.1)". Lineage: Eukaryota; Metazoa; Chordata; Mammalia; Perissodactyla; Equidae. The record is from RNAcentral.
GUUUAUUUGUAAUCAGCAGAGGGCUGUGGAGGGGGGAGGAAAGAUGGCAGGAGCAGCUGUCGGAGCGGCUCCUUGGGCGGAAAAUGAGAGCAAGCUGGAGGGCUGCGGACCUGCGCCCACGUCCUGGCUCUGCCCCCUCCGCUGGCUGUGUGCCCCUGGGCAUUGCCCCAGCUCAGGGGAAAGAGAAGGGGCGAUGGGACCCAUGGUCAGGGGGUGUGGGACCCGUGAGCUGCUGGCGGGACACAGAGAGAGCUCAGAACAUCACAGUGCAAAGAGCAGCACAGGGAACCCAGGAGCCUGUGAAGGGAAGGGGCUGGGACAGGACACUGCAAUCCCGGACACCUUCCAGGACCACCCCAGGGCCGGGGUGGUGGGUGGAGUCCCCACCACAGAGAAGGGAGACUGGACCAGGUCUGCUGUGUGAUGCCAGGAACUGGCUGCCCUCUCUGAGCCUCAGUCGUCCCAUCCGUUCAUUGGGGAUGACAGCAGUUGUCUCACCAGUCCCCUGGCCGGGAACCAGGUGAAAAACCUAAAUCUCUACUCAGAUGCAUUUCUAGACCCUCAGCACCUGCUCCCCACUUGUCAGAUGCAAAAAGCUCACAUCCAAAUGUCCGGGGCGGGCCCAGCCAACGUGUCAAGGUUGGAAGGACCCUCGGUUUGUCUCAGAGCCCCAGAACGGUGCUGGGCUGCCUCCUCGCACUACCCCGGGCCCCCAGCGACCCCACCACAGGAGGGG